GACGAACGCUGGCGGCGUGCCUAAUACAUGCAAGUAGAACGCUGAAGGAGGAGCUUGCUUCUCUGGAUGAGUUGCGAACGGGUGAGUAACGCGUAGGUAACCUGCCUGGUAGCGGGGGAUAACUAUUGGAAACGAUAGCUAAUACCGCAUAAGAGUAGAUGUCGCAUGACAUUUGCUUGAAAGGUGCAAUUGCAUCACUACUAGAUGGACCUGCGUUGUAUUAGCUAGUUGGUGAGGUAACGGCUCACCAAGGCAACGAUACAUAGCCGACCUGAGGGGGUGAUCGGCCACACUGGGACUGAGACACGGCCCAGACUCCUACGGGAGGCAGCAGUAGGGAAUCUUCGGCAAUGGACGGAAGUCUGACCGAGCAACGCCGCGUGAGUGAAGAAGGUUUUCGGAUCGUAAAGCUCUGUUGUAAGAGAAGAACGAGUGUGAGAGUGGAAAGUUCACACUGUGACGGUAUCUUACCAGAAAGGGACGGCUAACUACGUGCCAGCAGCCGCGGUAAUACGUAGGUCCCGAGCGUUGUCCGGAUUUAUUGGGCGUAAAGCGAGCGCAGGCGGUUAGAUAAGUCUGAAGUUAAAGGCUGUGGCUUAACCAUAGUACGCUUUGGAAACUGUUUAACUUGAGUGCAAGAGGGGAGAGUGGAAUUCCAUGUGUAGCGGUGAAAUGCGUAGAUAUAUGGAGGAACACCGGUGGCGAAAGCGGCUCUCUGGCUUGUAACUGACGCUGAGGCUCGAAAGCGUGGGGAGCAAACAGG
RNAcentral lists this ribosomal RNA (763 nucleotides) under uncultured Streptococcus sp. Its description in RNAcentral is "bacterial SSU rRNA". It matches the Rfam family "Bacterial small subunit ribosomal RNA", at positions 28 to 776 of the family's 1533-position model. The record is from RNAcentral. Lineage: Bacteria; Bacillati; Bacillota; Bacilli; Lactobacillales; Streptococcaceae.